Pelmatolapia mariae (spotted tilapia) is the source of this 570-nucleotide long non-coding RNA. RefSeq lists it as uncharacterized. The record is from RefSeq and is a predicted model, not a curated record. Lineage: Eukaryota; Metazoa; Chordata; Actinopteri; Cichliformes; Cichlidae. The transcript is spliced from 5 exons.
CUGAUAAGCGCAUUCUUUGUGCGCGGGUGGAUGCGCUCGUCACGUGCGUGGCGCACUCUCUUUGCAGUGAAGCACAGGAAGGUUGCAGGUAAGUCCCCAAAUAGACUACACAAAAAGUGAGGGAAAAAAGCCUUUCCCCUAAACCCUUUCAACUGACUCUGGAGGCACAGCGUCAUGACCUUGGGCAACGUGACGCAUCCAACGCACUGGAGUACUUCCGCUAACCAGAUCCUGCUGUUCCGCUGACGGUCUACCCGAGGAUACACUUUAUACAGCUGAACCACAAUCCGAAGAUGUGGCAGAGUGGUAAUCUGAAGUCUCCUGGCUUAGUGAGUCCAGCGAGGACACAUCCAGGCACCCGGUGACUCACCUUGCAGACACCUCCAGCGGAUCAAUCCACAGAGUCAUCUCGGAUGGAAAUCCCAGGCUGGUGGGCAUGAUGUUAGUCUCUUUGCAGGCCUGCAACACCACUUCAUCACAGGGAAAAAGUCACUCACUGACCACUGUGUAAAUGUUUAAACAGCGAUGAUUACCUAAAUGCUUGGCCUUUGCUGGGACAGUCGGGGUACC